UAAGCAGUGAGGAUGAGCAAAACUGGUUUUGUCACUAAAAAAAAAAGUUCUAGUUCCAGGAUAGGUGAUAAAUUAGGAUAUAGUGAGAGACAACUUGGGAAAUACUUAUAUCAGUUCACUAUUAUGAAAACUUGUAUUAUGAGAGUGGUGAUGGAGACCAAAGGAUGAAUUCUAGUGGCAUGUAGGUGACAGAAGCAAUAAGACUUCAAGAGCUAUUGGACCGGAGAGGAACAAGCAGAAAAAGAUACAGAGCAGAAGGAGGAAGAUGAUGAACACUGAAGAACUCUAACAGCUUGUAUCCCUCUUGAUACAGGCCAUCCCCAAAGCAUUACCAACAAGGGUGGUGUGAGGCAGUCUCUACAAGAACGCUGCAUUCUGAUGCGUCGCUACGGGCACAUCUGCAUAAAUGUACAGACUGCUCUGAGAAGGGUGCAAUAUUACAGAACUGAAGUUUUUACUUUACGGAUAGUGUGAGUCCAUUUCGAAAAGGAUAUUGAUG
This is a long non-coding RNA of Camelus dromedarius (Arabian camel), 499 nucleotides long. RefSeq lists it as uncharacterized. Lineage: Eukaryota; Metazoa; Chordata; Mammalia; Artiodactyla; Camelidae. The record is from RefSeq and is a predicted model, not a curated record. The transcript has 3 exons.